AAGGAUCAUUAACAGAUAGGAACAAGUUCUCCUUGGGGCUAGGCCCCGCGGGCUCCGUCCCGUUUCUUCACCCGUGUCUACCUAUCUCUGUUGCUUUGGCAGCCCGGGGAAGCCCUUGCAUUCGCGCGCAAGGAAACCUCCGGGUGGGUCGCACCCCGUCAAUAGCCCCUCGAAAUUCUGUCUUUCAGUGUCGUCCGAGUGAAGAUAUUAAUCGUUAAAACUUUCAACAACGGAUCUCUUGGUUCUGGCAUCGAUGAAGAACGCAGCGAAAUGCGAUAAGUAAUGUGAAUUGCAGAAUUCAGUGAAUCAUCGAAUCUUUGAACGCACAUUGCGCCUUUCGGAAUUCCGGAGGGCAUACCUGUUCGAGCGUCAUUGCACCCCUCAAGUUCCGGCUUGGUCUUGGGUGCUCGCCCCCUCGGGCGCACCCGAAAAUCAGUGGCGGUCCGGAGGCGACUUUAAGCGUAGUCAAUAUUUCUCCCGCUUUGAAAGUUCGUCUCGGGGCUUGCUAUCCACCCUCGAAACUUC
RNAcentral lists this ribosomal RNA (525 nucleotides) under Stereocaulon cumulatum. Its description in RNAcentral is "eukaryotic LSU rRNA". The stretch from base 219 to 372 matches the Rfam family "5.8S ribosomal RNA". The record is from RNAcentral. Lineage: Eukaryota; Fungi; Ascomycota; Lecanoromycetes; Lecanorales; Stereocaulaceae.